Molecule: long non-coding RNA, 760 nt
Organism: Chiroxiphia lanceolata (lance-tailed manakin)
Lineage: Eukaryota; Metazoa; Chordata; Aves; Passeriformes; Pipridae
Exons: 3
Source: RefSeq, a predicted model, not a curated record
CAGGCAUGUGACAGAUUGACAUUAGCAGCACAGCUCAGUGUGCUUGCAGACCAGACGUCUCUUGGAUGCUCAGAGAUAUUGAACAUUGGUUAUUUUCAUGGGAAUGGUAGGUGAUCACACCCACAGUACCAUCCGGACUCUCUACUGCUCUGGAGCUGCUGAAGUUUCCACUCAGAGAUCCCUCCCCCGCAAUUCAUUGGAAAAACAGACAGAAGCCUGAAGGGAAAAAAAUCCUUUUACACAUGAAGAUGGUAUCAGCAUCGUAAAAUGAUUUUCACUUUAGCAAAAAAAGAAAACCAAUAGCAAUCCGGUAUUUGGGUGCAUCAGGGAAACAAACAGAACAGUUAACACCGUCCAAGGAUAAAUAGUAUGUUGUUAAGAAGACGUUUUUAUUCAGCACUGUACUUUUCAACAGCUGUCUAGUUCAAAGCAAGAGGAUAGUCCCAGUUUGGGAGCUCUGCCGCGUGGUUCACGUUGGAAACCGCGUUUGGGACUCAGCUGACCCGCAGUCGCUCAUACCCCCCGGCUCAGCAGCAACCCCAGACGUCCCAAACCCCGACGAAAGCUUGGACACGGCAGAUGCCUUUUGUUCUGUUGCUCUGAGCUCUUCUGCAUUCCUCCCACGUACGGUCUCGUAUCUCAUUGCCUGGUGCUGCUCUCGGCUACCGGGAGGUAGAUCCACCUUCGGUGGACAAGCCGCGGAGCAAGGACUCUUUGUUUCCCACAGACAAAUGAGCAAUGUCAGUUAAUUCAGAAAACU